AUUGAACGCUGGCGGCAUGCUUUACACAUGCAAGUCGAACGGUAACAGGCCUUCGGGUGCUGACGAGUGGCGAACGGGUGAGUAAUGCAUCGGAACGUGCCCAAUCGUGGGGGAUAACGUAGCGAAAGUUACGCUAAUACCGCAUAAGCCCUGAGGGGGAAAGUGGGGGACCGCAAGGCCUCACGCGAAUGGAGCGGCCGAUGUCAGAUUAGCUAGUUGGUAGGGUAAAGGCCUACCAAGGCGACGAUCUGUAGCUGGUCUGAGAGGAUGGCCAGCCACACUGGAACUGAGACACGGUCCAGACUCCUACGGGAGGCAGCAGUGGGGAAUAUUGCGCAAUGGGCGAAAGCCUGACGCAGCCACGCCGCGUGAGUGAUGAAGGCCUCGGUGUAAGACUCUGUCGGAGGGAAGAAGGGGACGAACCCGUCGACGGUACCGUCGCAA
Molecule: ribosomal RNA, 444 nt
Filed under: uncultured bacterium
Lineage: Bacteria
Description: bacterial SSU rRNA
Rfam family: Bacterial small subunit ribosomal RNA
Source: RNAcentral